RNAcentral lists this ribosomal RNA (368 nucleotides) under uncultured bacterium. RNAcentral's name for it is "partial 16S ribosomal RNA". It matches the Rfam family "Bacterial small subunit ribosomal RNA", at positions 338 to 698 of the family's 1533-position model. The record is from RNAcentral.
CCUACGGGAGGCAGCAGUGGGGAAUAUUGCUCAAUGGACGAAAGCCUGACGCAGCGACGCCGCGUGCGGGAUGAAGGUCUUCUGAUCUUUAAACUCUUUCAGCAUGGAAGAACGUCCCCUUUCCUAAUCAGCGUUGAAUUUACGGUACCUGCAAGGAUAGCACCGGCUAACUCCGUGCCCGCAGCCGCGGUAAUACGGAGGGUGCGAGCGUUAAUCGGAUUUGCUGGGCGUAAAGCGCUCGUAGGCGGUAUGUCAAGUCAAGGGUGAAAUCCCCGCGCUCAACGUCGGCACUGCAUUUGAUACUGGCAAACUGGAGUGUGUGAGAGGAUAGUGGAAUUCAAGGUGUAGGAGUGAAAUGCGUAGAUAUC